CAAGUCGAACGCGAAAGUCCCGCAAGGGAUUAGUAGAGUGGCAAACGGGUGAGUAACACGUGGGUGACCUGCCUUCGAGCGGGGGAUAACGUCCCGAAAGGGACGCUAAUACCGCAUAACAUCCUGCCUUUUAAGAGGUGGAGAUCAAAGCCGGGGAUCGCAAGACCUGGCACUUGAAGAGGGGCCCGCGCCUGAUUAGCUAGUUGGUGGGGUAAUGGCCUACCAAGGCAACGAUCAGUAUCCGGCCUGAGAGGGCGGACGGACACACUGGGACUGAGACACGGCCCAGACUCCUACGGGAGGCAGCAGUGGGGAAUUGUUCGCAAUGGGCGCAAGCCUGACGACGCAACGCCGCGUGGAGGAUGAAGAUCUUCGGGUCGUAAACUCCUUUCGAUCGAGACGAAUGUUUUCCGGGUGAACAAUCUGGAAAAGUGACAGUACCGAGAGAAGAAGCCCCGGCUAACUCUGUGCCAGCAGCCGCGGUAAUACAGGGGGGGCAAGCGUUGUUCGGAAUUACUGGGCGUAAAGGGCUCGUAGGUGGCCAACUAAGUCAGACGUGAAAUCCCUCAGCUUAACUGGGGAACUGCGUCUGAUACUGGAUGGCUUGAGUUUGGGAGAGGGAUGCGGAAUUCCAGGUGUAGCGGUGAAAUGCGUAGAUAUCUGGAGGAACACCGGUGGCGAAGGCGGCAUCCUGGACCAACACUGACACUGAGGAGCGAAAGCCAGGGGAGCAAACGGGAUUAGAUACCCCGGUAGUCCUGGCCCUAAACGAUGAAUGCUUGGUGUGGCGGGUAUCGAUCCCUGCCGUGCC
Molecule: ribosomal RNA, 811 nt
Filed under: uncultured Acidobacteriota bacterium
Lineage: Bacteria; Pseudomonadati; Acidobacteriota
Description: bacterial SSU rRNA
Rfam family: Bacterial small subunit ribosomal RNA
Source: RNAcentral